This 292-nucleotide ribosomal RNA is filed under the name uncultured bacterium. RNAcentral's name for it is "partial 16S ribosomal RNA". It matches the Rfam family "Archaeal small subunit ribosomal RNA", at positions 455 to 747 of the family's 1478-position model. The record is from RNAcentral.
GUGCCAGCGCCGCGGUAAUACCGGCAGCCCGAGUGAUGGCCGAUCUUAUUGGGCCUAAAGCGUCCGUAGCUGGCUGCACAAGUCCGUCGGGAAAUCCGCCCGCUCAACGGGCGGCCGUCCGGCGGAACCUGUGUGGCUUGGGACCGGGAGGCCUGACGGGUACGUCCGGGGUAGGAGUGAAAUCCCGUAAUCCUGGACGGACCGCCGAUGGCGAAAGCACGUCGCGAAGACGGAUCCGACAGUGAGGGACGAAAGCUAGGGUCUCGAACCGGAUUAGAAACCCUAGUAGUCC